UUUCCGUAGGUGAACCUGCGGAAGGAUCAUUACUGAGUGAGGGCCCCUCGGGGUCCAACCUCCCACCCGUGUUUAACGAACCUUGUUGCUUCGGCGGGCCCGCCUCACGGCCGCCGGGGGGCAUUUGCCCCCGGGCCCGCGCCCGCCGAAGCCACCUGUGAACGCAGUCUGAAGUAUGCAGUCUGAGACAAUUAUUAAAUUAAUUAAAACUUUCAACAACGGAUCUCUUGGUUCCG
This 236-nucleotide unclassified non-coding RNA is filed under the name plant metagenome. Its description in RNAcentral is "partial contains small subunit ribosomal RNA, internal transcribed spacer 1, and 5.8S ribosomal RNA". The record is from RNAcentral.